Molecule: transfer RNA, 65 nt
Filed under: Dipodomys ordii (Ord's kangaroo rat)
Lineage: Eukaryota; Metazoa; Chordata; Mammalia; Rodentia; Heteromyidae
Rfam family: tRNA
About the family: Transfer RNA (tRNA) molecules are approximately 80 nucleotides in length. Their secondary structure includes four short double-helical elements and three loops (D, anti-codon, and T loops).
Source: Rfam by way of RNAcentral
GGUGGCUCAGUGGAAGAGUGCUAGCCUUCCAAGCAUGAGGCCCUGGGUUCGAUUCCUCAGCACCA